UGGACGGGAAUAACCUCGGAAACUGAGUAUAAUGCCCGAUAGAACACUAUACCUGGAAUGGUUUGUGUUCCAAAUGAAUGUCGCCGUAGGAUGGGACUGCGGCCUAUCAGUUUGUUGGUGAGGUAAUGGCCCACCAAGACUAUUACAGGUACGGGCUCUGAGAGGAGUAGCCCGGAGAUGGGUACUGAGACACGGACCCAGGCCCUAUGGGGCGCAGCAGGCGAGAAAACUUUGCAAUGUGCGAAAGCACGACAAGGUUAAUCCGAGUGGUUUGUGCUAAACGAACCUUUUGACAGUCCUAGAAACACUGUUGAAUAAGGGGUGGGCAAGUUCUGGUGUCAGCCGCCGCGGUAAAACCAGCACCUCAAGUGGUCAGGAUGAUUAUUGGGCCUAAAGCAUCCGUAGCCGGCUCUGUAAGUUUUCGGUUAAAUCUGUACGCUCAACGUACAGGCUGCCGGGAAUACUGCAGAGCUAGGGAGUGGGAGAGGUAGACGGUACUCGGUAGGAAGGGGUAAAAUCCUUUGAUCUAUUGAUGACCACCUGUGGCGAAGGCGGUCUACCAGAACACGUCCGACGGUGAGGGAUGAAAGCUGGGGGAGCAAACCGGAUUAGAUACCCGGGUAGUCCCAGCUGUAAACUAUGCAAACUCAGUGAUGCAUUGGCUUGUGGCCAAUGCAGUGCUGCAGGGAAGCCGUUAAGUUUGCCGCCUGGGAAGUACGUACGCAAGUAUGAAACUUAAAGGAAUUGGCGGGGGAGCACCACAAGGGGUGAAGCCUGCGGUUC
This 783-nucleotide ribosomal RNA is filed under the name uncultured bacterium. RNAcentral describes it as "bacterial SSU rRNA". It matches the Rfam family "Archaeal small subunit ribosomal RNA", at positions 117 to 903 of the family's 1478-position model. The record is from RNAcentral.